GGCCACAAGGCCACCUACCAUGCGGGCUGCGUCAAAGCAGGCCCAGCAUGGCCCACUGCUGUGUCUAUUUCUUGGUAUCAAAAUCUCAAAUCAGUAGAAUCCGGCCCUCACUGACAAUAUAUUUCUACAGCAGCAACACUACCACCUAUCCUUCUGUCAUAGAGGCUCAUCCAUCUGAACCUAAUCAAAUUGCUCUUGGCAUGAGUGAUGGAGCAGUCCAUGUAGUCAAGCCUUCUAAUACCGAGACAACAGAUAACUGCCGCGGCAUAUAAGAUGAGAAAGGUUAGACCACAAGAAGUAUAGACGCAUUGACCUGCACAUAUUUUUUGGUUCUUAGUUUUGAACAUCACCCUUUUCACUCUUUAACCUAGGUGAGAAUUUAAAAAUUUCAAUCUAAUUCUACCAUCUUCCUAGAAGAAACAUGUGGAAUCAGUCUUAUGUAUAGUCAAAUCUUCGGACGAUGAUAAGGAUCUUGAUGAAAGUCUGCUCUAGAAGAUAAUGGCGAUGACACCAUUCCUAGAGAUCACUUUUGGAAGUCUGCUUCGGUAUUCAGCUUUUUGGUUUCAGUUCAUUGUCAAUUUCAAACGAGCCAUAAUGACCACCUGCGUUGUCUCCCUUCUCUACUGUAACCCUAUCAAAAUCACCGACAGUCAUCUGCUUAACUGCCAGAAAUCCAGAAGAGUUUGCCAAGUUGUUACCAAAUCUGUUCAGCAUGUUCAGCGAAAUUGGUGCCAAAUGACUUCAAUAAACUGAGAGCAGAUCACAAGUUGAAAUUGAUGUCGUUUUUGUUAGAUUUUAGUUGAAAAGUGGAUAUAAUGUGAAUCAGGAGCUUUUGUUAGGAUCUAUGUGAUGAAGCUUUAGUUUUAAAACAUGGUUUACUUGAAAUGUUGUUUGAGAAUGUUGACUGCUAGGUAGUAUUCGAUUUGGGAAGGUCCAUCAAGGAUCAUAAAGUGCAAAUACAUUGAAUUGAAUGGCUCCUGAAUAUAUAUCGGUUAUAAAUCUGUUAUGCA
This is an RNA transcript of Mangifera indica (mango), 1010 nucleotides long. RefSeq lists it as uncharacterized. The transcript has 2 exons. Lineage: Eukaryota; Viridiplantae; Streptophyta; Magnoliopsida; Sapindales; Anacardiaceae. The record is from RefSeq and is a predicted model, not a curated record.